Long non-coding RNA from Bubalus bubalis (water buffalo), 2268 nucleotides. RefSeq lists it as uncharacterized. Lineage: Eukaryota; Metazoa; Chordata; Mammalia; Artiodactyla; Bovidae. The transcript is spliced from 3 exons. The record is from RefSeq and is a predicted model, not a curated record.
UCAAGAUCACAGAUGGGAGGCAGUGAGGAGCAGGACUGGGCUGCCAGAAAAGCUGGACUCUAAUGCCUUCCAGUCCUUGGUAGUAACCCUGGGAGGAGCUGGGGGCUGAGGCCCCGAGGGUCUCAUCAGUCGAAGCCGGGUGCCAGGCCUUUGCAUCCCCUUUGGAACAGUUGUCAGAUCCAGCUGUCCCCAGGCAGAGACAGGAACCUUGGGUGAGAUGAGUCCUGGGGGUCAGAGCCAUUCUGGCUCAGCUGCCUAUGCUCCUGGAGGACAGGGGGACAAGUGUGUACAUCCAGAGGGGCCAUCUGGCCCACCCCACACACCCAUCCCACAGGAGUCACCCAAGUGUGAUUAGUGUCUUACUGUCAGUCACCUCUGUCACCAUCACGUCAGGAACGGUGGCAGCAGGCAAGCUCCCGGCCAGAGCCGUCUCAGCUCAUGGCAGCGGGAAACAGAGUCAUCUCACCUUAGAACGAGACAUGACCUAACACACCACCGUCAUCACUGACACAGGAGGAGAAAUUUGGAGGAAAUGAAAUUCCCGCUGAACCUAGCAAGCAUUUUCAGCUGCUUAUCUGAUACUCUGAUGUGCAGCUUAAUACAAGCGAUUGGGUUGAAAUGGCACAUUUUCCCUGAAUAUCACCACCUGAGCUGUGGAUUUGGGAACAAUUUUGGAAAUGAUUGAAUUCUCAUGUUUGAAAAUAGGAGUUGUACAAAAUUGUCACAAGUUAAAAUACAGUUAAGUAUUUUCAUCGGGACGUUGUAAACUCUAGACAGACUUCAGACUUGUAUCUGUUUCUGAAUUGACAUCUGACCGGUAUUGAGGAGAUAAAAAUAAAUAAAUAAUGGAAGAAAAUACAAUAAUGAGAUCAUGAUGAUGGACUCUGCAAAGAGCUCCAUCCUGCAAAGCACCUGUUGUUCGUGAUGAUACCUUCGGCAGAGGCCCCUCUGUCCAUGGGAUUCCCCAGGCAAGAAUGCUGGAAAGGGUUGCCUUUUCCUUCAUCAUGGGAUCUUCACAACCAAGGAUCAAACCCAGGUCUCUCUCAUGCAGGUGGAUUCUUUACCACUGAGCCACCAGGGAAGCCUAUUAAUACUUAUGUAACUAUUAAUAAAACCUUGUAGUUCAUGAUUGUCAUUCAACCUGUUCAAUGGGAAAAGGAUGUCAAACUCAGGUAUGCGGUCCAAAUGAUUUCAGGACAUAUAGGAGAUGAAUAAGAAUGUCUAGGAUGAGAAGAUGUGGCUGGUGCUGAUCAUGUCCCCACAGAAAACCACCUUGAAACAUGAAAGCCCCUACAUUUUCUGACUUCAGUUGGCAUGACAAGCCAGUUAGGAUCAACCUGGAUUUUCAAAGUUGCGAAGGACAGUGUACAAAAACAAUGCUGAUGAGCUGGUGUGUUUUGACUGGUUUGACCAUGGUCUUAAGGCUCCAAAUUUAAUUUGUCUUAGAAGACAUUGUGUUCCAUCAACAGCUCAAAGUUCUGAUCUUAAGAGAAGGGUGGAGUGAAGCAGUCACAAAAAUAAUGAGAGUGUGAAGAUUCUGCCUUUGACAGCAAACAGAAGAAGCUAUUUCAGAAAAAAAUACAGACAUCAGAUGAGCUCUUCAGCUCCCAGCAGAGGCCUGGGCGAGGGCACUGGUGCCCUGCCCUGGCCUGUGUUCCUUGCUGAACUUACACAGCUUCUGGAAAGCCAAGCUGCUGAUGCCUAGGACUGUAAGACUGUAAGGGAUGCAGAGGGGAAGACCAAGGAUGAAGGACAUGCUGAUCGGGACAUCUCUGAGCUGGAAGCCCCACACAGCUGGAAGUGUGUGCUCUUUGCAGAGAUCCUCAUUGUUCUGAAGACAGAAGAGGCGAGUUCAAGGAUUCCACAUCUUCUGUCGUCUGUUCAGCUGUGGAAGAAGAAUACAAAUGGUAAAUUGAAGAUUAAAAAAGUUUUUUUGGUCAAUAAAUAUUCGACAAUUGAUGAUGGCUAUGACUUUGAAAGUUUUAAGUUUGUGAUGGAAGAAUAUGGCUGCUCUCGAUUUUAGCACUGUUUUCCCUGGGUAAUCACAAGAGGGCAUUAUCAGUGUUUUAAUGACAGCAUUUUUUUUUUUUUUUUUGUAACAAUUUAAACACAAACAGUCCCUUUCGACCCUCUGGGAUCUACCACACAGCCGCAACCAAGCUUCUGUUCCCUCACGUGCUCACGAGCCCCCACAGCGCCUCCCACAGGGUGAUGGUAAAAGUACGCUGGUCACAUCAAACCCACGGCUGCUUCUGCGGGUUACGCAGA